AACGAACGCUGGCGGCAUGCCUAACACAUGCAAGUCGAACGAGACCUUCGGGCCUAGUGGCGCACGGGUGCGUAACGCGUGGGAACCUGCCCUUAGGUUCGGAAUAACGCCCCGAAAGGGGUGCUAAUACCGGAUAAUGUCUUCGGACCAAAGAUUUAUCGCCAUUGGAUGGGCCCGCGUUGGAUUAGCUAGUUGGUAGGGUAGAAGCCUACCAAGGCGACGAUCCAUAGCUGGUCUGAGAGGAUGAUCAGCGACACUGGGACUGAGACACGGCCCAGACUCGUACGGGAGGCAGCAGUGGGGAAUAUUGGACAACGGGCGAAAGCCUGAUCCAGCUAUGCCGCGUGAGUGAUGAAGGCCUUAGGGUUGUAAAGCACUUUUACCCGGGAUGAUAAUGACAGUACCGGGAGAAUAAGCUCCGGCUAACUCCGUG
RNAcentral lists this ribosomal RNA (433 nucleotides) under uncultured bacterium. RNAcentral describes it as "partial 16S ribosomal RNA". It matches the Rfam family "Bacterial small subunit ribosomal RNA", at positions 29 to 507 of the family's 1533-position model. The record is from RNAcentral.